CCAUUCACCAGCAGUAGAACAUGCUCAGCAUAAGGGUGAGGCUCAUCCAUUGCACUUUGGGUGUGCUGAUCCCUGUGAUUUCCCCAAACUUGGAAAAAUCAACUGCAUAAUUUGUGGUAGUGAGGGACUGCGUUUGUGGUUUCCCCUG
RNAcentral lists this small nuclear RNA (148 nucleotides) under Pogona vitticeps (central bearded dragon). Its description in RNAcentral is "U1 spliceosomal RNA (ENSPVIG00000010299.1)". It matches the Rfam family "U1 spliceosomal RNA". From Rfam's summary of the family: U1 is a small nuclear RNA (snRNA) component of the spliceosome (involved in pre-mRNA splicing). Lineage: Eukaryota; Metazoa; Chordata; Lepidosauria; Squamata; Agamidae. The record is from Rfam by way of RNAcentral.